AAACUAAUUUAAUUUGGCGGCAUUUUAUCUAUUUAGAGGAAUUUGUCUUUUAAUCGACAAUCCACGUUAAAUUUUACUUUAAUCAAAAACUUAUAUACCGCCAUCUAAAGAAUUAAUUAAAAAAUAUUUCUCUAAAUAAAUUAUAAAAAGUUAGGUCAAGGUGUAAUUUAUAUUAAAGNAUAAGAUGAAUUACAUUAAAAAUUAUUUAAAGACUACUAAUAUAUAUAUAAAUAUAAAUAAGAAUUUAAAAGUAAUAUAUAUAUAAUAAUAAUAAUAUAUGAUAAAGAUAAUAAAUGUGCACACAUCGCCC
RNAcentral lists this ribosomal RNA (310 nucleotides) under Coelotes exitialis. RNAcentral's name for it is "partial 12S ribosomal RNA". Lineage: Eukaryota; Metazoa; Arthropoda; Arachnida; Araneae; Agelenidae. The record is from RNAcentral.